This 321-nucleotide long non-coding RNA is filed under the name Vigna radiata. RNAcentral describes it as "long non-coding RNA (VRAD_LNC014510)". Lineage: Eukaryota; Viridiplantae; Streptophyta; Magnoliopsida; Fabales; Fabaceae. The record is from RNAcentral.
UGACUGCUGCUGUUGUAGCUCAUGGGCUGGUGGAGAAGGCAUACAAGAAUUCUGGAAUGGCUGAUAUUGCUGUGGAGCAUCAUACCAUCCCAAGCUAGGGUCAUUCCAUCCAGGAUCGUUGCUGUAACCAUACUAAGCAGGGAAGAAUUCAUCCAAGAACAUAUGCUUAAGAUCUUCCCAAGUAAUGGAUCCUGGAGGAAGACAAUACAACCAAUCCCUUGCUGCUUCUUGUAACGAAUGCGGAAAUGCCCUUAAAAAAAUGUGAUCAUCAGGGACAUGAGGAGGUUUCAUUGUAGAACUCCUCCAAAUGUCUAUGUGGGC